This is a long non-coding RNA of Raphanus sativus (radish), 1553 nucleotides long. RefSeq lists it as uncharacterized. The transcript is spliced from 2 exons. The record is from RefSeq and is a predicted model, not a curated record. NCBI's taxonomy places the organism in Eukaryota, Viridiplantae, Streptophyta, Magnoliopsida, Brassicales, Brassicaceae.
AACUGCCACAUUAUGUACUUUUAAAUUUUUGGACCGAGAUAAGCCAACUUCCAAGUACAUCAUUCAUGGGGUAGUAGAGAUAAUCAUUUGUGCUGUUUUUGUCCAUUUUUUUUUACCCAAUUACACUAAUAUAGAUUUUGAGGCUCAUUUUCUAUAAUACAGGACAAGGACAAGGCAAAUCAAAUAUUUAGAGUCAAAAAAACCUUUUUCUCUCUCCCCUAUCUCCUUCUCCUCGCAACUCUGAAACUGAUUUUGCUCUGCCUCCGACACGUAUGUGCGCGUGCGACCGUCGGAGGUCUCUUUUCUCCCUCUACUUGGCUUCCCUUUGCUGCUGCUCCGCCUCUCUCUUUCACCUCUGAUAUGCUCGCUGUCCUGGGUUUGCGUGCUUCUCCGAUGAGUGCUCCGUGCGCAAGGAAUGCAUCUCUCCGGCGUCUGUAAGCUUCACCUGGUGCUGCGGCGAGGAGGUCUCAAGGUUUGGUGAAAAAGUGAUCGGAUUUUAGGGUUUUGGUGGGAUCAAUUUUCUAGAUCUAGUUUAGAUCCCGCCCGUUUUCUUCGUCGUGGAGGGGGCUUUGACGGUUUGCUCCAUCAAUUAGACUUCGGCGGUGUCGUAUAUUGAAAGAUGGUGACUUUCGGUAGCGGAUGUGGGGUUCCUGGUCUUCUCCGGCGUCGGCGAGGUUCACUCCCAUCCUCUUGUUACCAAGAGAUUUUGGUGGCUUCGGUCACUGGAAGCACGCCUAGAGUUGAGAUACGCAGGAGGAGAUGGUAUCAAGGCUCUGUUCCCGACGUGUGCGGUUGUUGUUGGUAGCUGUGACAGGUAGUCGUCUAUAGCUCCUAGAUGGUUGUUCACAACUCCGCUUCUCUUCUGACCUCUCCCUCUCGGCAGCCUGUCUGGUUCUUCGUGUCGAAAGUGGCUACUUUCUUAUCGAAUCGUUGACUCCGAAGCAUGGUUUCUCUCAGUCAAGUAAUCGGUCUCACGGUUCUCGUUAGACGGAUUUGUUGAGGCGAUUCUCGGGAGUCAUUGAUUGCCUCGAGUUAACAGAUUGUCAAGCUCACAUCCGGGUGUCGCUGUGGUCCUUUAUACUUUGCGGCAGUGUGCUUGAUUUUACUUGCAGGUGUUUGAGGCUUCCUAACAGGGUGUGGCGAUGUCAUCAACCCGCUUUCUUGCUCAGUUCAUGGCGGCAAUGGUGGUGGACAGCUCUUGGAGACAAUCUCCUCCCCUGGAUCUAAAAGUUGGAAGCGUCACUCUAUUGCCGCACUCAUCAAGGACAUUAUUAGCUUAGUUCUUCCUAACUUAUAAGCUUUAUAUUGCUAAGCUAUGAAUCCUGAAUAAGGUGUCUCAGCUAAAAGAAGAUACAACUAAGGUAACGUAAUGUUUCUUGGUUUAUGCAAAACUCAACGUAUGCAUAAGUAAAGGUGGCGUAAGGUAUUCUUGAGUAAAAAGUGCAUUGUCUAUGUAUUUUACUCCUUACUAAUAACAACAAAAUCACCUAAGCAAAAUGAUGAUGUUUUGUAAAUUAAUAUAUUUUCUGGUUUGUUUCUAAAUAACAAUACAA